GAAUGAUGGCGCUGAAGCGGCAGAGCCACAUGUUUCUGGGAAGAUCGGAGCGAAGAAACAAAGGAAGUUAGAGGAGAAGCAGGCCAGGAAAGCUCAGCGAGAGGCCGAGGAAGCCGAACGCGAGGAGCGAAAGAAGGUGGAGCAGAAACGGGAGGAGGAGCGGCGAAAGGAGGAGGAGCGUCUGCGCCAGGAGGAGGAGCGGAAGGAGGAAGAGGAGAAGAAGGCUAAAGAGGAGCAGGAGCAGCGGGAGCACGAGGAAUACCUCAAGCUGAAGGAGAGCUUUGUCGUGGAAGAAGAAGGGGUGGACGAAGCCAUGUCAGAG
Gekko japonicus is the source of this 322-nucleotide long non-coding RNA. RefSeq lists it as uncharacterized. Lineage: Eukaryota; Metazoa; Chordata; Lepidosauria; Squamata; Gekkonidae. The transcript has 3 exons. The record is from RefSeq and is a predicted model, not a curated record.